UAAGAACGAACGAGGGCUGAUCUGUCUUCACUUGUAUUUGCUGCAAGGUCAACCAUCAGGAUCUGAUGUUCUGUUCCCUUUCACUCAGCAACACAUCCAAAUGCAGUUCAAGAAAUGGAGUAACAGAAAUUUUCAAGAGCCAGUAUUUUACUUAAAAAUGAGAUAUGGCUCUUGCUACUCUGAAAUAUUCUUCACCUUCUAUGCACAGGAGCUGCUUUUCUUCUGCUGCAAAAUGUCUGAAACACGUGGAAGAAGAGCCCAAACAGGGCUUUGGAGUUGCACAGGCCUGAAUUUGACAUCUGACCACACUACUUGCAAGCUCUGGACCCGAGAGCAGGUUCGCUCAGCCUCCCUGAGCCUGUUCUGUAAGUGAAAUGGGGCUGAGGUGAAGCUGAAAGAACAGCUCUAAGGCGCUCACGACGGGUUGUUGCCCAGGGUAUCUAAGAGAGUCCUCAUCGCCAUCGGGCAGUUAGUGUUGUACCAGCAUCCACCAGUCCCCUGUGGUGGUCUCUGGGCACAAGGGGCAGCAGCAGGAGUGGUCAUUGAGUCCGCUUGAGGUACUGUGAUGCAUACUCGUCACCCGGCUCACACAUUCCAGUCCCAUGCUAGUAACCUGUGUGCUAGGUACCCAUUCCAUAGAUGAAGAAUCUGAUUUAGGGACCUGACAGGCUAGGCAGCUAGGAAACGUGAAGUCAGAUCUGGCUCCCCAGGUGAAAACACGCUGGCA
Molecule: long non-coding RNA, 727 nt
Filed under: Bos mutus (wild yak)
Lineage: Eukaryota; Metazoa; Chordata; Mammalia; Artiodactyla; Bovidae
Description: lncRNA (ENSBMUG00000018757.1)
Source: RNAcentral